AACGCAUGUUGCACUCUACUCUGUAGAGUAUAUCUGUUUGAGUAUCAUAAAACCCUGUUACAACUGUAACAAUUUGAACUAUCAAGUAUACUUGUCGUUCCAAAUGCAUGAAACAACAGUGUGGUAGAUAUUGCACUCGACUUUCCAUCAAUAAUUGAUCUCAAAUCAGACAAGAGUACCCGCUGAACUUAA
This 192-nucleotide unclassified non-coding RNA is filed under the name uncultured fungus. RNAcentral describes it as "partial contains 5.8S ribosomal RNA, internal transcribed spacer 2, and large subunit ribosomal RNA". The record is from RNAcentral. Lineage: Eukaryota; Fungi.